RNAcentral lists this ribosomal RNA (552 nucleotides) under uncultured bacterium. Its description in RNAcentral is "bacterial SSU rRNA". It matches the Rfam family "Bacterial small subunit ribosomal RNA", at positions 8 to 526 of the family's 1533-position model. The record is from RNAcentral.
AGAGUUUGAUCCUGGCUCAGGACGAACGCUGGCGGCGUGCCUAAUACAUGCAAGUCGAGCGAAGUGUCCAGACGGAAGCCUUCGGGUGGAAGACUGGAGACUUAGCGGCGGAUGGGUGAGUAACACGUAGGUAACCUGCCCGUAAGACCGGGAUAACCCGUGGAAACACUGGCUAAUACCGGAUGUGGUCUAACGUUCGCAUGAAUGUUAGAAGAAAGGGAGGCCUUUGGCUUCCGCUUACGGAUGGGCCUGCGGCGCAUUAGCUUGUUGGUGGGGGAACGGCUCACCAAGGCCACGAUGCGUAGCCGACCUGAGAGGGUGAUCGGCCACACUGGGACUGAGACACGGCCCAGACUCCUACGGGAGGCAGCAGUAGGGAAUCUUCCGCAAUGGACGCAAGUCUGACGGAGCAACGCCGCGUGAGUGAGGAAGGCCUUCGGGUCGUAAAGCUCUGUUGCCAGGGAAGAACAAGCACUUGAGUAACUGCAAGAGCUUUGACGGUACCUGAGAAGAAAGCCCCGGCUAACUUCGUGCCAGCCGCCGCGGUAAUAC